AGAGUUUGAUCCUGGCUCAGGACGAACGCUGGCGGCGUGCUUAACACAUGCAAGUCGAACGGAAAGGCCCUUCGGGGUACUCGAGUGGCGAACGGGUGAGUAACACGUGGGUGAUCUGCCCUGCACUUUGGGAUAAGCCUGGGAAACUGGGUCUAAUACCGAAUAGGACCACGCGCUUCAUGGUGUGUGGUGGAAAGCUUUUGCGGUGUGGGAUGGGCCCGCGGCCUAUCAGCUUGUUGGUGGGGUAAUGGCCUACCAAGGCGACGACGGGUAGCCGGCCUGAGAGGGUGACCGGCCACACUGGGACUGAGAUACGGCCCAGACUCCUACGGGAGGCAGCAGUGGGGAAUAUUGCACAAUGGGCGCAAGCCUGAUGCAGCGACGCCGCGUGAGGGAUGACGGCCUUCGGGUUGUAAACCUCUUUCAAUAGGGACGAAGCGUGAGUGACGGUACCUAUAGAAGAAGCACCGGCCAACUACGUGCCAGCAGCCGCGGUAAUACGUAGGGUGCGAGCGUUGUCCGGAAUUACUGGGCGUAAAGAGCUCGUAGGUGGUUUGUCGCGUUGUUCGUGAAAACUCACAGCUUAACUGUGGGCGUGCGGGCGAUACGGGCAGACUAGAGUACUGCAGGGGAGACUGGAAUUCCUGGUGUAGCGGUGGAAUGCGCAGAUAUCAGGAGGAACGCCGGUGGCGAAGGCGGGUCUCUGGGCAGUAACUGACGCUGAGGAGCGAAAGCGUGGGGAGCGAACAGGAUUAGAUACCCUGGUAGUCC
Molecule: ribosomal RNA, 771 nt
Filed under: uncultured bacterium
Lineage: Bacteria
Description: bacterial SSU rRNA
Rfam family: Bacterial small subunit ribosomal RNA
Source: RNAcentral